CCCUUUAGCCUUCAUUCUUCGUGGUAGAUUUUCUUUGGCAGAUUUUGGCCCAUGUGGACAGCGGCGGGACCCCGCAAACAGACCGGGGAUAAGAUGUCUAUGGGCUGAAUACACCUUAGGAUAGGGAAUGAAAUGUCUGAUCACUGGGGUGCUGCAGCUGGGGAUCCCCGGCAGCGACCGUAACACAGAUUUUCCACGUCCCCUCCAUUCAUGUCUAGAAAUUUGCUCCACGCACUGGAUAAGUGGGGUGCUGCAGCAGAAUUGCCGCAUGAUUAGACAUCUUAUCCCCUAUCCUUUGGAUUGGAAAUAAGAUAUUUUCCGGUGGAGUACCCCUUGAAUCUUAUUAUUAUUAUUUUUUUUUUUAAAGAAAUUUAUAUAAUCCUGUUUUGAAGCCCACAACUGUUCCUGUUGUGACCAGUUCCUGAAGCAGACUAUUCCAUAAAUUCACAGUUCUUAUGGUAAAGAAGGCUUGUCACCCCUUGAGACAAAACCUUUAUUUACCCUCCUGUCUAUGAGUGCCCUCAUAUUUUUUGUACUCCAUAUAUACUUAAAGGGGUACUCCACUGGAAAACAUUUUUUUUACAUCAUCUGGUGCCAGAAAGUUAAAAAGAUUUAUAAAUAACUUCUAUGACCACUGUGCUCUCUGCUGACACUUCUGUCCAUUUUAGGAACUGUCUAGAGCAGGAUAAGUUGGCAUUGGGGAUUUGCUCCUACCCUGUACACCCUACAUUCUAUUCACUAUUUCUCGUACCCCAUAGCAUUUAUUAUUGUUAUCGGUAUGCCAUCGGUAUGCCUGCUAAGGCUUACUGCACUAAAGGAGCACCAGUUGGAUGGGAGGAAGGCAGCUUCUUUAGCAAGCAGGGCCAGCAAGCAGGUCCCGUGGUGCAUGGAGCCGGAAGCCAGAGCCACAGCGCAUAGGCAAUGCCGGCCCUGAGCCCCAGGAAUGUAAUCUUCAGAGACUUUAUUGCCAUGAGGCCAGACCCCAUAGUACCCUCCCACUUUCCUAGUGGCGCCACUGGUGUCUAGGCACUUUACACGGUGCGGAGGCCACUCUUUAUGAUGUCAAUAAGAAAUUAAAAAUCUUAUUCUCCAACAAAAAAAAGAUGCUUGUGUUGUUCUCUUUUAUGAAGUCAUCAGACCAUGGCCUGGUAUUUAUAAAUCUUUUUUCUCUGUGAUAGAUUACAGGAUAUAGCAGCAUAUAAAUACAUACAUAACGCUAAAUACAUUAAAAGCAGCAGUAAGACAGUUGUCAUGUAAAAACUUCUGUAUUAUGUUGUGUAUUGUUUAAUUGUAACUAGGUGUUUUCAGGAAAGCCACAUCUUAGAAAGGCCAAAUCUUUCACACCAAUAAAAGUGACAUAAUUAAAUAGCAUAUAAAACAUAGCAGGAGAAGACGAUAAUGCCAUUUAACCCUUCUAAACCCUAAUUCACAGCAAAUGUAAAUCCCUGAAUUCAAGUUCAAUCAAGAAAAAUGACACCUUGUAAUUGUCUACAACAGGAAUGUCCUCACAGUGUUGAUGUCACGUUCUACACGAGCAUGUAAAAUAAUACAGGUGACAUCUACAAAACAAAACAAAAGUACUUUCUAAUUCAGCAUAUUCCCACUAAGGUAUUUAAAUGCUGGCAUUAAUACAUUUAGUGUUAUAAAUUCACAUUUUCUUAAAGGAGUAGUCCAGUGCUGAAAAACUUAUCCCCUAUCCUAAGGAUAAGGGAUAAGUUUCAGAUUGCGGGGGUCCAAUCGCUGGGGCCCCCCGCAAUCUCCUGUAUGGGGCCUCGGCAGCCUGC
This is a long non-coding RNA of Hyla sarda, 1784 nucleotides long. RefSeq lists it as uncharacterized. The transcript is spliced from 3 exons. The record is from RefSeq and is a predicted model, not a curated record. NCBI's taxonomy places the organism in Eukaryota, Metazoa, Chordata, Amphibia, Anura, Hylidae.